UGAAUAAUUAAAGGGCCGCGGUAUUUCUGACCGUGCGAAGGUAGCAUAAUCAUUAGUCUUUUAAUUGAAGGCUUGUAUGAAUGGUCGGACGAGAAGCAAUCUGUUUCAAGUAAAAAAAUUGAACUUAACUUUUAAGUGAAAAGGCUUAAAUAUCCUAAAAAGACGAUAAGACCCUAUAAAUCUUAACAUUAAAUUUUAAUAGCCACCUAAUUUAUUAAUCCAAAGGAUUUAUUAAAAAAAUGUUGUGUUGGGGCGACAAAAAUAUAAUAAUAACUGUUUUAAUUUAUAUAACAAGAAUUAUUGAUGAGACAAGAUCCUUAUUAAAGAUUAUAAGACUAAGUUACUUUAGGGAUAACAGCGUUAUUCUCUUUGAGAGUUCUAAUCGAAAAGAGAGUUUGCGACCUCGAUGUUGAAUUAAAAAAUCU
RNAcentral lists this ribosomal RNA (425 nucleotides) under Ciliopagurus tricolor. RNAcentral's name for it is "partial 16S ribosomal RNA". It matches the Rfam family "Bacterial large subunit ribosomal RNA", at positions 1913 to 2547 of the family's 2925-position model. The record is from RNAcentral. Lineage: Eukaryota; Metazoa; Arthropoda; Malacostraca; Decapoda; Diogenidae.